CUACACGACCGUACCGCAAACCGACACUGGUGCGCGAGAUGAGUAUUCUAAGGCGCUUGAGAGAACUCAGGAGAAGGAACUCGGCAAAUUGACACCGUAACUUCGGAAGAAGGUGUGCCUUUAGUAGGUGAACCUGUACAAGGGGAGCCCAAUGAGGUUGCAAAAAAUCGGUGGCUGCGACUGUUUAAUAAAAACACAGCACUCUGCAAACACGAAAGUGGACGUAUAGGGUGUGACGCCUGCCCGGUGCUGGAAGAUUAAAUGAUGGGGUGCAAGCUCUUGAUUGAAGUCCCAGUAAACGGCGGCCGUAACGAUAACGGUCCUAAGGUAGCGAAAUUCCUUGUCGGGUAAGUUCCGACCUGCACGAAUGGCGUAACGAUGGCCACACUGUCUCCUCCUGAGACUCAGCGAAGUUGAAAUGUUUGUGAUGAUGCAAUCUCCCCGCGGAAAGACGGAAAGACCCCAUGAACCUUUACUGUAGCUUUGUAUUGGACUUUGAACAGAUCUGUGUAGGAUAGGUGGGAGGCUUUGAAGUGUGGUCGCUAGAUCGCAUGGAGCCAACGUUGAAAUACCACCCUGGUGUGUUUGAGGUUCUAACCUAGGCCCGUAAUCCGGGUCGGGGACAGUGCAUGGUAGGCAGUUUGACUGGGGCGGUCUCCUCCCAAAGCGUAACGGAGGAGUUCGAAGGUACUCUAGGUACGGUCGGACAUCGUGCUAAUAGUGCAAUGGCAUAAGCGGGCUUAACUGCGAGACUGACAAGUCGAGCAGAUGCGAAAGCAGGACAUAGUGAUCCGGUGGUUCUGUAUGGAAGGGCCAUCGCUCAACGGAUAAAAGGUACUCUGGGGAUAACAGGCUGAUACCGCCCAAGAGUUCAUAUCGACGGCGGUGUUUGGCACCUCGAUGUCGGCUCAUCUCAUCCUGGGGCUGUAGCCGGUCCCAAGGGUAUGGCUGUUCGCCAUUUAAAGAGGUACGUGAGCUGGGUUUAAAACGUCGUGAGACAGUUUGGUCCCUAUCUUCCGUGGGCGCUGCAGAUUUGAGGAAGCCUGCUCCUAGUACGAGAGGACCGGAGUGGACACACCUCUGGUGUAUCGGUUGUCACGCCAGUGGCAUUGCCGAGUAGCUAUGUGUGGAAGAGAUAACCGCUGAAAGCAUCUAAGCGGGAAACUCGUUUCAAGAUGAGAUCUGCCGGGGCCUUGAGCCCCCUAAAGAGUCGUUCAAGACCAGGACGUUGAUAGGUCGGGUGUGGAAGCGCAGUAAUGCGUUAAGCUAACCGAUACUAAUUGCUCGUGCGGCUUGACCUA
Molecule: ribosomal RNA, 1301 nt
Filed under: metagenome
Description: bacterial LSU rRNA
Rfam family: Bacterial large subunit ribosomal RNA
Source: RNAcentral